Molecule: ribosomal RNA, 874 nt
Filed under: uncultured archaeon
Lineage: Archaea
Description: bacterial SSU rRNA
Rfam family: Archaeal small subunit ribosomal RNA
Source: RNAcentral
CCUGACUGCUAUCGGAUUGAUACUAAGCCAUGCGAGUCUUUGUAGCAAUACAAGGCAUACGGCUCAGUAACACGUAGUCAAUCUACCCUAUGGACGGGGAUAACCUCGGGAAACUGAGAAUAAUACCCGAUAGAUCAUUAUGCCUGGAAUGGUUUAUGAUCCAAAUGAAUUUCGCCAUAGGAUGGGACUGCGGUCUAUCAGCUUGUUGGUGAGGUAAUGGCCCACCAAGGCUAUAACAGAUACGGGCUCUGAGAGGAGAAGCCCGGAGAUGGGUACUGAGACACGGACCCAGGUCCUAUGGGGCGCAGCAGGCGAGAAAACUUUGCAAUGUGCGAAAGCACGACAAGGUUAAUCCGAGUGUUUCCUGCUAAAGGAAUCUUUUGUCAGUCAUAACACCACUGAUGAAUAAGGGGUGGGCAAGUUCUGGUGUCAGCCGCCGCGGUAAAACCAGCACCUCAAGUGGUCAGGAGGAUUAUUGGGCCUAAAGCAUCCGUAGCCUGCUUUGUUAGUUUUCGGUUAAAUCCAUAUGCUCAACAUAUGGGCUGCCGGGAAUACUGCAUAGCUAGGGAGUGGGAGAGGUAGACGGUACUCCGUAGGAAGGGGUAAAAUCCUUUGAUCUAUGGAAGACCACCUGUGGCGAAGGCGGUCUACCAGAACACGUUCGACGGUGAGGGAUGAAAUCUGGGGGAGCAAACCGGAUUAGAUACCCGGGUAGUCCCAGCUGUAAACUAUGCAAACUCAGUGAUGCAUUGGCUUGUGGCCAGUGCAGUGCCGCAGGGAAGCCGUUAAGUUUGCCGCCUGGGAAGUACGUACGCAAGUAUGAAACUUAAAGGAAUUGGCGGGGGAGCACCACAAGGGGUGAAGCCUGCGGUUC